This 253-nucleotide ribosomal RNA is filed under the name uncultured bacterium. RNAcentral describes it as "partial 16S ribosomal RNA". It matches the Rfam family "Bacterial small subunit ribosomal RNA", at positions 524 to 776 of the family's 1533-position model. The record is from RNAcentral.
UACGGGGGGGGCAAGCGUUGUUCGGAAUUACUGGGCGUAAAGGGCUCGUAGGCGGCCAACUAAGUCAGACGUGAAAUCCCUCGGCUUAACCGGGGAACUGCGUCCGAUACUGGAUGGCUUGAGUUUGGGAGAGGGAUGCGGAAUUCCAGGUGUAGCGGUGAAAUGCGUAGAUAUCUGGAGGAACACCCAUGGCGAAGGCAGGUUACUGGGCAUUAUCUGACGCUGAGGCGCGAAAGCGUGGGUAGCAAACAGG